AGUGAACGCUGGCGGUAGGCCUAACACAUGCAAGUCGAACGGCAGCACAGUAAGAGCUUGCUCUUACGGGUGGCGAGUGGCGGACGGGUGAGGAAUACAUCGGAAUCUACUUUUUCGUGGGGGAUAACGUAGGGAAACUUACGCUAAUACCGCAUACGACCUACGGGUGAAAGCAGGGGAUCUUCGGACCUUGCGCGAUUGAAUGCGCCGAUGUCGGAUUAGCUAGUUGGCGGGGUAAAGGCCCACCAAGGCGGCGAUCCGUAGCUGGUCUGAGAGGAUGAUCAGCCACACUGGAACUGAGACACGGUCCAGACUCCUGCGGGAGGCAGCAGUGGGGAAUAUUGGACAAUGGGCGCAAGCCUGAUCCAGCCAUACCGCGUGGGUGAAGAAGGCCUUCGGGUUGUAAAGCCCUUUUGUUGGGAAAGAAAAGCAGCAGGUUAAUACCCCGCUGUUCUGACGGUACCCAAAGAAUAAGCACCGGCUAACUUCGUG
RNAcentral lists this ribosomal RNA (492 nucleotides) under uncultured bacterium. RNAcentral's name for it is "partial 16S ribosomal RNA". It matches the Rfam family "Bacterial small subunit ribosomal RNA", at positions 29 to 507 of the family's 1533-position model. The record is from RNAcentral.